UUGGAGGGCAAGUCUGGUGCCAGCAGCCGCGGUAAUUCCAGCUCCAAUGGCGUAUAUUAAAGUUGUUGCAGUUAAAAAGCUCGUAGUUGAAUUUCGGAAUCAAUUUGUUGGUCGUGCCUCGGUACGUACUGGUAUUAUUGGUUUCUACCUUCUGAAGAACCUUGAUGUUAUUAAUUUGGUGUCUUGGGGAAUCAGGACUGUUACUUUGAAAAAAUUAGAGUGCUCAAAGCGGGCCAGUGCCUGAAUACAUUAGCAUGGAAUAAUAAAAUAGGACGGCAUGGUUCUAUUUUGUUGGUUUCUAGGAUCACCGUAAUGAUUAAUAGGGAUAGUUGGGGGCAUUAGUAUUCAAUUGUCAGAGGUGAAAUUCUUGGAUUUAUUGAAGACUAACUUCUGCGAAAGCAUUUGCCAAGGAUGUUUUCAUUAAUCAAGAACGAAAGUUAGGGGAUCGAAGACGAUCAGAUACCGUCGUAGUCUUAACCAUAAACUAUGCCGACUAGGGAUCGGACGAUGUUAAUUUUUUAAUGACUCGUUCGGCGCCUUACGGGAAAC
RNAcentral lists this ribosomal RNA (549 nucleotides) under uncultured Diversisporaceae. RNAcentral describes it as "SSU rRNA". It matches the Rfam family "Eukaryotic small subunit ribosomal RNA", at positions 548 to 1098 of the family's 1831-position model. The record is from RNAcentral. Lineage: Eukaryota; Fungi; Glomeromycota; Glomeromycetes; Diversisporales.